Molecule: unclassified non-coding RNA, 233 nt
Filed under: uncultured Actinomycetes bacterium
Lineage: Bacteria; Bacillati; Actinomycetota; Actinomycetes
Description: uncultured actinobacterium contains 16S-23S intergenic spacer region
Source: RNAcentral
UCCGAGUUGACCCCGGCAGUCUCCUAUGAGUCCCCACCAUUACGUGCUGGCAACAUAGAACGAGGGUUGCGCUCGUUGCGGGACUUAACCCAACAUCUCACGACACGAGCUGACGACAGCCAUGCACCACCUGUGACGGUCCAGCCUAACUGACACUGUGUUUCCACAGCUACGACCGCCAUGUCAAGCCCAGGUAAGGUUCUUCGCGUUGCGUCGAAUUAAACCACAUGCUC